RNAcentral lists this ribosomal RNA (452 nucleotides) under uncultured archaeon EnvI-184. Its description in RNAcentral is "bacterial SSU rRNA". It matches the Rfam family "Archaeal small subunit ribosomal RNA", at positions 901 to 1350 of the family's 1478-position model. Lineage: Archaea; Methanobacteriati; Methanobacteriota; Halobacteria; Halobacteriales. The record is from RNAcentral.
UUUAAUUGGACUCAACGCCGGACAUCUCACCAGCUCCGACUACAGUGAUGACGACCAGGUUGAUGACCUCAUCACGACGCUGUAGAGAGGAGGUGCAUGGCCGCCGUCAGCUCGUACCGUGAGGCGUCCUGUUAAGUCAGGCAACGAGCGAGACCCGCACCCCUAAUUGCCAGCAACAGUUUCGACUGGUUGGGUACAUUAGGAGGACUGCCAGUGUUAAACUGGAGGAAGGAACGGGCAACGGUAGGUCAGUAUGCCCCGAAUGAGCUGGGCAACACGCGGGCUACAAUGGCUAAGACAAUGGGUCGCUAUCUCGACAGAGAACGCUAAUCUCGAAACUUACUCAUAGUUCGGAUUGAGGGCUGAAACUCGCCCUCAUGAAGCUGGAUUCCGUAGUAGCCGCCUUUCAGUAGAAGGCGACGAAUACGUCCCUGCUCCUUGCACACACCGCC